RNAcentral lists this ribosomal RNA (253 nucleotides) under uncultured bacterium. RNAcentral describes it as "partial 16S ribosomal RNA". It matches the Rfam family "Bacterial small subunit ribosomal RNA", at positions 524 to 776 of the family's 1533-position model. The record is from RNAcentral.
UACGAAGGGGGCUAGCGUUGCUCGGAAUUACUGGGCGUAAAGGGUGCGUAGGCGGCGCGGUAAGUCGGAUGUGAAAUCUCGGAGCUUAACUCCGAAACUGCAUUCGAUACUGCCGUGCUUGAGGACUGGAGAGGAGACUGGAAUUUACGGUGUAGCGGUGAAAUGCGUAGAUAUCGUAAGGAAGACCAGUGGCGAAGGCGGGUCUCUGGACAGUUCCUGACGCUGAGGCACGAAGGCCAGGGGAGCAAACGGG